This 1522-nucleotide ribosomal RNA is filed under the name Salmonella enterica subsp. enterica serovar Choleraesuis str. SCSA50. RNAcentral's name for it is "bacterial SSU rRNA". It matches the Rfam family "Bacterial small subunit ribosomal RNA". The record is from RNAcentral. Lineage: Bacteria; Pseudomonadati; Pseudomonadota; Gammaproteobacteria; Enterobacterales; Enterobacteriaceae.
AGAGUUUGAUCAUGGCUCAGAUUGAACGCUGGCGGCAGGCCUAACACAUGCAAGUCGAACGGUAACAGGAAGCAGCUUGCUGCUUUGCUGACGAGUGGCGGACGGGUGAGUAAUGUCUGGGAAACUGCCUGAUGGAGGGGGAUAACUACUGGAAACGGUGGCUAAUACCGCAUAACGUCGCAAGACCAAAGAGGGGGACCUUCGGGCCUCUUGCCAUCAGAUGUGCCCAGAUGGGAUUAGCUUGUUGGUGAGGUAACGGCUCACCAAGGCGACGAUCCCUAGCUGGUCUGAGAGGAUGACCAGCCACACUGGAACUGAGACACGGUCCAGACUCCUACGGGAGGCAGCAGUGGGGAAUAUUGCACAAUGGGCGCAAGCCUGAUGCAGCCAUGCCGCGUGUAUGAAGAAGGCCUUCGGGUUGUAAAGUACUUUCAGCGGGGAGGAAGGUGUUGUGGUUAAUAACCGCAGCAAUUGACGUUACCCGCAGAAGAAGCACCGGCUAACUCCGUGCCAGCAGCCGCGGUAAUACGGAGGGUGCAAGCGUUAAUCGGAAUUACUGGGCGUAAAGCGCACGCAGGCGGUCUGUCAAGUCGGAUGUGAAAUCCCCGGGCUCAACCUGGGAACUGCAUUCGAAACUGGCAGGCUUGAGUCUUGUAGAGGGGGGUAGAAUUCCAGGUGUAGCGGUGAAAUGCGUAGAGAUCUGGAGGAAUACCGGUGGCGAAGGCGGCCCCCUGGACAAAGACUGACGCUCAGGUGCGAAAGCGUGGGGAGCAAACAGGAUUAGAUACCCUGGUAGUCCACGCCGUAAACGAUGUCUACUUGGAGGUUGUGCCCUUGAGGCGUGGCUUCCGGAGCUAACGCGUUAAGUAGACCGCCUGGGGAGUACGGCCGCAAGGUUAAAACUCAAAUGAAUUGACGGGGGCCCGCACAAGCGGUGGAGCAUGUGGUUUAAUUCGAUGCAACGCGAAGAACCUUACCUGGUCUUGACAUCCACGGAAGUUUUCAGAGAUGAGAAUGUGCCUUCGGGAACCGUGAGACAGGUGCUGCAUGGCUGUCGUCAGCUCGUGUUGUGAAAUGUUGGGUUAAGUCCCGCAACGAGCGCAACCCUUAUCCUUUGUUGCCAGCGAUUAGGUCGGGAACUCAAAGGAGACUGCCAGUGAUAAACUGGAGGAAGGUAGGGAUGACGUCAAGUCAUCAUGGCCCUUACGACCAGGGCUACACACGUGCUACAAUGGCGCAUACAAAGAGAAGCGACCUCGCGAGAGCAAGCGGACCUCAUAAAGUGCGUCGUAGUCCGGAUUGGAGUCUGCAACUCGACUCCAUGAAGUUGGAAUCGCUAGUAAUCGUGGAUCAGAAUGCCACGGUGAAUACGUUCCCGGGCCUUGUACACACCGCCCGUCACACCAUGGGAGUGGGUUGCAAAAGAAGUAGGUAGCUUAACCUUCGGGAGGGCGCUUACCACUUUGUGAUUCAUGACUGGGGUGAAGUCGUAACAAGGUAACCGUAGGGGAACCUGCGGUUG